RNAcentral lists this long non-coding RNA (447 nucleotides) under Mus musculus (house mouse). RNAcentral describes it as "long non-coding RNA chr11:33172918-33173365". Lineage: Eukaryota; Metazoa; Chordata; Mammalia; Rodentia; Muridae. The record is from RNAcentral.
UGUUUCGAAGACCUGUGUUACAGGUAUUUCGUCAGUUUGUAAGACAUGAGUCUGAAGUAGCCAGCAGUUUGGUUCUUGAACGAUCUCUGAAUCGUGUUCAGUUACUUGGACAAGUAGGUCAGGACCCUGUCAUGAGACAGGUGGAAGGAAAAAACCCAGUCACAAUAUUUUCUCUAGCAACAAAUGAGAUGUGGCAAUCAGGGGAUAGUGAAGUAUACCAAAUGGGUGACGUCAGUCAGAAGACGACGUGGCACAGAAUAUCAAUCAGUGUUUCGACCAGGCCUCAGAGAUGUGGCAUAUCAGUAUGUGAAAAAGGGGGCUCGUAUAUUUGUAGAAGGGAAAGUGGACUAUGGCGAGAACAUGGAUAAAAACAAUAUGAGGCGGCAAGCAACAACAAUCAUAGCUGAUAACAUUAUAUUUCUGAGUGACCAGACAAAAGAAAAGGCA